UGGGGGUGUGAGUGGCGCGCUGUAGGCUGUGGGACGCUCAGUAGAGUGUAAGGUUUGGCUGCUUGGUGUGGAUGGGUCUCCUGAAAGGGAAGAGCGUGCAGAGAUAGGAUGGUGGUGGAAAAAAAAAGGGGGAGAGAUGGAAGGAUUGGUCAUGCGCAAGACCGCAGGCCGUUGGAGGCAGCUUAGAAAUCUCUUACAUCUGGAAGAGCCAUAAUUCACGGGAUUUGGCCUGACAGCCAUGACAGGCAUUGGGGCAGCCAGCAACAACUGUCUCCUGUGUUAGCACUGGAAAAGGAAGAAGGCGAGCGAAGACCAAAAAAAAAAACAAUAAGCACAAUAUGUGUGAGUACACGCAACUUUUUAAGUAUGCAGGAAACUCAUGAAUAUUAGACCUGCUGGUUUGCAAAACUUUGUGCAACUAAGUUUGGACACAGCAACGCAACACGGACGUCUGAUGAUGCAUUCAGACAAAGCAGAAGAAUGUUUACACAACUCAGUGCAACAAGAACAACAAAAGUAAGCGCAAUAAUGUGAUGUCCUUGAAUGCUGAUUUUAUCAUAUGGAAAAUAUGACCAAACGAAAUGAGGAAUGUUUUGCAGAUCAACGUAAUUAAAAGAUGUUCCGCAGAUUCACUUUUCUGACAAU
Molecule: long non-coding RNA, 645 nt
Organism: Synchiropus splendidus (mandarinfish)
Lineage: Eukaryota; Metazoa; Chordata; Actinopteri; Syngnathiformes; Callionymidae
Exons: 3
Source: RefSeq, a predicted model, not a curated record